CCUACGGGGGGCUGCAGUGGGGAAUAUUGGACAAUGGGGGGAACCCUGAUCCAACCAUGCCGCGUGUGUGAAGAAGGCCCUCGGGUUGUAAAGCACUUUCAGUGAGGAAGAACGCCUGGUGGUUAAUACCCAUCAGGAAAGACAUCACUCACAGAAGAAGCACCGGCUAACUCCGUGCCAGCAGCCGCGGUAAUACGGAGGGUGCGAGCGUUAAUCGGAAUUACUGGGCGUAAAGCGCGCGUAGGUGGCUUGAUAAGCCGGUUGUGAAAGCCCCGGGCUCAACCUGGGAACGGCAUCCGGAACUGUCAAGCUAGAGUGCAGGAGAGGAAGGUAGAAUUCCCGGUGUAGCGGUGAAAUGCGUAGAGAUCGGGAGGAAUACCAGUGGCGAAGGCGGCCUUCUGGACUGACACUGACACUGAGGUGCGAAAGCGUGGGUAGCAAACAGGAUUAGAUACCCUGGUAGUC
RNAcentral lists this ribosomal RNA (465 nucleotides) under Vreelandella stevensii. RNAcentral's name for it is "partial 16S ribosomal RNA". It matches the Rfam family "Bacterial small subunit ribosomal RNA", at positions 338 to 795 of the family's 1533-position model. The record is from RNAcentral. Lineage: Bacteria; Pseudomonadati; Pseudomonadota; Gammaproteobacteria; Oceanospirillales; Halomonadaceae.